CUAAUUCUACGGAAGAUACAACGAAGCGGCCAUUACUGGUUAACUGCAGAAAAUGGUCGGUCCAUUGCUCCGAUCUCUCUGGUACACGUCUCUGAUACACAGCCACCAGCAAAUCCCUCUCUUUUUACUCCUCUAAUUAUCUAAAGCCUCAUUUAUUCGGAUGCGCCUUCUCCACAGCGAGCGCCACUGCCGCCGUUUCAUCCGCGGCGACUCUGGCCAGCUGAGGAACUUGGCUGUUAUAGCCCACGUCGACCAUGGAAGGACCGCCCUCAAAGAUAGGCUCCUCCGGCAGUGCGGUUCUGACAUCCCCCACAAAUAGACUCCAUCAGCCUCGAGCGCGAGCUUGGCAUCACCAUUGCUUCUUAGGUACUCAUUAAGAUACUACCUUCCUUGAAUUAUUCAUUACCUUUUUAUGUUUGCUUCCUUAUGAACUUCAUUGAAGAAGGAAAGUAAUUGGUUUAACAUCGCUCUGUUUUCCCAUGAAAUGCAUUUCACUCUGUUGUAAUUCUGAUUAUAUUCACUGCAUGCCAAAUUUCUGAAAGGGGGUGAUUUUAGCGUUGUAUGAAUUUCACGUGGGGUGUUUGAGUCAAUCAAUUGCUCUUAUAAAUUGAUGAAGUUCUAAACAAAAUACACAUAUUUCUAUUAAAUUGAUUUUUAAAAUUAAAAAAUACCAGGUGGUAGUGCCAUGAAUUGAUCCAGAAACAAGGUUAUUCCCAUGGACAGUGUGUUAAAAAUAAUAAAUAGGAGUGAGAUCAAGUGGGUAAAUUUGUUAUAAGAUAUACUAGGACAAGUAUGAAGUCCUUUGAGGUGGAAUUGCAUACAAUUUUAGAUCUUUUGGUUCCAUCUUUGUGUUUCUUUAUUUAGAUGUCUGACUUGUAUUACUGAUUUCACGCUUUCCACUACCACAAUACCAACUUUGAAGUGACAAAUGGUUCUUGAAAUAGGAAGAGAAGGAGAAGGAGAAGGAGAAUAUAGUGAGAAGAUAGAGUGAAAAAUAUGAGUUUAUUCAAUAUCAAAGUUUAACUAUUAUAUAGGGUUUAAAUUAGUCAAUUUAAGUAGGAAAGUACUGCAAAUUUUAUUAAAUCAAAGCAUAAUAAUUUUUCCUAAAAUAAGCAUCCAAUUUGGAAGUUAAACGACUCAUAGAAUCAUCAUUACGUUACCUAAAGUAAGUAUAUAAUUUGGAAAGUAAAUUAAAUAUUAUCUCUUCUAGGAUUUUCAUCAUAGGGAUUGCCAUCUCCUUUUCUAACUGGCGUCUGUUAAGUUAGCUGAAGCUUACGCUUUGAGGCCUGCCUUGUGAGGCUUUCAUUGAACGACUCAAGAUUUCCCCUUAAAUGUCAUUUUGAAUGCUCGCGUCUCAAUUCAUUGAGGCACUUCCUUGACUUAUUUUGUUUUAUACAAGGGAAGUCACCAUUAUGAGUGGAGGAUGAUGACAAAGAAUGAGGGGGAAAAUUACAAAGAUGAGGAGGACGAUAGGAGAAUGGAAAACACACUGAUGAUUCUUUUAAAGAUCCUACCAGUAACAAUGACAUAGGAGAUUUCUGGUAGUAAUGAAAAAAGUCGGUCUUACUGCUGCAACCAUUUGGUUGGUAGUAGGUCGAUGAAAGUUUAUGAGAUGUAAUUUUUUCCCGAGCAGCUAGAGGAUGUAGAUUUUUGGUCUCUUGUGACGGUGUAUUAUGGUUAAUGAAAAUAUAUUUAUAUUUCCUCUGUUGCUUAUGCUAAUUUACAUUUUAGAUGUCCGGAUGGACUAUACCACUGAUUUGUCACUUUUUAAUACCACCCUUUAAGAAGUGAAAAAUGAAAUUUGGAAAUUGUAUACACAAAUAGUUCUUGUUUUCUUGAUGCCAAUAGACUGGGUGUCUCUUCUUCUAAGUCUGCAUAUAAGGUCUCUUCUUCUAUGUCUGCACAUAAGGGCAAUGUAAGUUGUGGUGGAAUAAUAUUCGUG
RNAcentral lists this long non-coding RNA (1942 nucleotides) under Olea europaea subsp. europaea. The record is from RNAcentral. Lineage: Eukaryota; Viridiplantae; Streptophyta; Magnoliopsida; Lamiales; Oleaceae.